CUUUUGUGGGGUGCUCGAGUGGCGAACGGGUGAGUAACACGUGAGUAACCUGCCCUUGACUUUGGGGUAACUUCAGGAAACUGGGGCUAAUACCGGAUAGGAGCUCCUGCUGCAUGGUGGGGGUUGGAAAGUUUCGGCGGUUGGGGACGGACUCGCGGCUUAUCAGCUUGUUGGUGGGGUAGUGGCUUACCAAGGCUUUGACGGGUAGCCGGCCUGAGAGGGUGACCGGCCACAUUGGGACUGAGAUACGGCCCAG
Molecule: ribosomal RNA, 256 nt
Filed under: uncultured Actinomycetales bacterium
Lineage: Bacteria; Bacillati; Actinomycetota; Actinomycetes; Actinomycetales
Description: partial 16S ribosomal RNA
Rfam family: Bacterial small subunit ribosomal RNA
Source: RNAcentral